CCUACGGGUAGCUGCAGUGGGGAAUAUUGGGCAAUGGGCGCGAGCCUGACCCAGCAACGCCGCGUGAAGGAAGACGGCUCUAGGGUUUGAAACUUCCUUUGUCAGGGAAGAGUAGAAGACGGUACCUGACGAAUAAGGCACGGCUAACUACGUGCCAGCAGCCGCGGUAAUACGUAGGUGGCAAGCGUUGUCCGGAUUUACUGGGUGUAAAGGGCGUAUAGGCGGGUUGACAAGGCAGAUGGGAAAUCCUGCGGCUUAACCGCAGAAGUGCCUUUGAAACUGUUGAUCUUGAGUACUGGAGAGGCAGAUGGAAUUCCUAGUGUAGCGGUGAAAUGCGUAGAUAUUAGGAGGAACACCAGUGGCGAAGGCGGUAUGCUGGACAGCAACUGACGGUGAUGCGCGAAAGCGUGGGGAGCGAACAGGAUUAGAUACCCUAGUAGUC
Molecule: ribosomal RNA, 442 nt
Filed under: uncultured bacterium
Lineage: Bacteria
Description: partial 16S ribosomal RNA
Rfam family: Bacterial small subunit ribosomal RNA
Source: RNAcentral